UACGGAGGGAGCUAGCGUUAAUCGGAAUUACUGGGCGUAAAGCGUGCGCAGGCGGUUUUGUAAGUUUGUCGUGAAAGCCCCGGGCUCAACCUGGGAAUUGCGAUGAAGACUGCAAGGCUUGAAUCUGGCAGAGGGGGGUAGAAUUCCACGUGUAGCAGUGAAAUGCGUAGAGAUGUGGAGGAACACCGAUGGCGAAGGCAGCCCCCUGGGUCAAGAUUGACGCUCAUGCACGAAAGCGUGGGGAGCAAACAGG
This 253-nucleotide ribosomal RNA is filed under the name uncultured bacterium. Its description in RNAcentral is "partial 16S ribosomal RNA". It matches the Rfam family "Bacterial small subunit ribosomal RNA", at positions 524 to 776 of the family's 1533-position model. The record is from RNAcentral.